AACGCACAUGGCGCUUCCGGGCAACUGGGAGCAUGCUUGUUUCAGUGUCCGUAACACCCCUCAAACGUGGCGACGCGUUUGGAGCAUGGGCUUCUCCGGGGGCGGCUUGCCCGUCCCUGGUGGCCUGAAGUGUGAAAGCCAAUGCAGUGCGCGCCGCGACCGCCGGCACACUUGUGUGUCGUGCGUCGUGAUGCGGCGGCCGUGGGUCUCGCCCGCGUCUCUGCCUGGUGUGGUGGGUGCGAGUGUGCGGCGUUUAUUCGCCCGCGUCUCAAACUAUAAUCCCCCAAGCAGUUGCGGGCGCUACAUGGGAACCGCGCCGUCGCGUGUGUUGCGCUGAAGGCAGGCCUUGUGCCUGCGGCAGUGUUACUCAAGCCUCAUAAUUGGACCUGAAAUCAAGUAAGAAGACCCGCUGGACUUAA
This 419-nucleotide unclassified non-coding RNA is filed under the name uncultured fungus. Its description in RNAcentral is "partial contains 5.8S ribosomal RNA, internal transcribed spacer 2, and large subunit ribosomal RNA". The record is from RNAcentral. Lineage: Eukaryota; Fungi.